This 723-nucleotide long non-coding RNA is filed under the name Homo sapiens (human). RNAcentral describes it as "non-protein coding lnc-ZNF37A-4:3". Lineage: Eukaryota; Metazoa; Chordata; Mammalia; Primates; Hominidae. The record is from RNAcentral.
UGCACACAUCAUCUUCUCCAAGGUUUGUGUGCAGAAUAUCCUGCCCAUGCUGCCCCAGCAGCUUCAGUUGGCACCUGCCCCAGUCCAGCCUCUGGGAACCAUGCAGUGGCUCCCAGCGGCCCUGCAGCCACCACCAGCAUCCGUUUCACCUGCAGUUGAAGAUCCGUGAGGUGCCCAGAAGAUCAUGCAGUCAUCAGUCCCACGGAGCAGCCCGCGAGGCUGAGGCUCCUCCCACUGGACCGCCCCCCAACUGGCACCACUGCUGCCCCUGCCCCUACUCUCAGCCUCAUGUGACUCUCGGGCAGAGACAGUGGUGGGGCAGCCACGGCAGCGUCAAAAGUCUGAGCCAGCUGGAGGACAAGUUCGAGCAUCUUAAAAUGAUUCAACAGGAGGAGAUAAGGAAGCUCGAGGAAGAGAAAAAACAACUGGAAGGAGAAAUCAUAGAUUUUUAUAAAAUGAAAGCUGCCUCUGAAGCACUGCAGACUCAGCUGAGCACUGAUACAAAGAAAGACAAACAUCCUGAUCCAUAUGAAUUCCUCUUAUUAAGAAAAAUAAAGCAUCCAGGAUUCAAUGAAGAACUAUCACCUUGUUAAUCAUUCAGAAACAUGUUGCAGACUUAAGCCAUUUUUGAUAUACAUACUGAAACAAUUACUUGCUAAGAGCAAACUUGAAGGUAUGGAUAAGGCCCUGAGUCAUCUUCCUGAGCUGAAUGAUAGUUAAGCU